RNAcentral lists this ribosomal RNA (397 nucleotides) under uncultured bacterium. Its description in RNAcentral is "partial 16S ribosomal RNA". It matches the Rfam family "Bacterial small subunit ribosomal RNA", at positions 523 to 918 of the family's 1533-position model. The record is from RNAcentral.
AUACGUAGGUGACAAGCGUUAUCCGGAUUUACUGGGCGUAAAGGGCGUGUAGGCGGUCUUGCAAGUCAGAAGUGAAAUUCCUGAGCUCAACUCGGGCGCUGCUUCUGAAACUGCAGGACUUGAGUGCUGGAGGGGAUAGCGGAAUUCCUAGUGGAGCGGUAAAAUGCGCAGAUAUUAGGAAGAACACCGGUGGCGAAGGCGGCUAGCUGGAACGAAACGGACGCAGAGGCACGAAACCGGGGGGAGCGAACAGGAUUAGAUACCCUGGUAGUCCUCGCCGUAAACGAUGAAUACUAGGUGUAGGGGGUAUCGACUCCCUCUGUGCCGCAGUUAACACAAUGAGUAGUCCGCCUGGGGAGUACGGCCGCAAGGUUGAAACUCAAAUGAAUUGACGGGG